CAUGUGGCAGGUGGCUAUUCUAUUGGAUAGGGUUGCAGUGAGGGUGAAAUGAGAUUAUAUGUGAGAUUAUAUGUGAAAGUUGCUUGGCUGGACUGUUUUUAAUGUUGCUACUAUUUUUUUAUCAUUCUUGCCAACAGAAAACAUUCCCACACCCAGGUGAGCUUCUUCACCUCAUUACCGACUCUUUGGAUGGUCACUUGGGAGAGAAUCUACCCAGAACCAAGCCAAAAGGACCCAGCUCUUCGUGACUGUGCAUGUGGCCUCCAUCAUGAGAAAACCUGCACUGGGAAAACAAAAUGGCCAGAAUAUGUUUCCUUGCCUCGAAGAACUCAUUGUCUGGGAAGGAAGGCGACACGUAAAAAGUUGCAGUUAUGCCAGAAGUAACCUCACAGGUUGUGGACAAGGCCCUACAGGUGCAGAGAGAAGGACUCGACUGUACUGGGGUUGGAGGAGGGACACCUCACAAAGUAAAAGCACAAAAACUUUUCAAAUUCAGUUUUUACUUCUAUACCUCAUGACUGCAUUAUGGAUGCAACACAUCCCAUGGGAAAGGUGGCCUCUGGAAAGGCAGCCUCCUCUUCCUUGCUCCUUCCCCAAAUGAUAAGGUAAGAGGAUCCCACAUUCGAAUCUCCCACCUCUGCCGCAUGUUAUGUGAUCCACAGCCCAUGAGCAUAAGCUCAGGGAGCUUCAGUUGCUUCCUUAAUAAAAAAAAAAAAAAAAAAGGAGAUAAUAUAGUACCUGCCAGGUCUGUGCCAGAAUUAGAAGAUAUGGUGUGUCCAAAAUACAGAGGAGGGGGCACACAUCCAUGAACUCCUCUCUUC
RNAcentral lists this long non-coding RNA (821 nucleotides) under Mustela putorius furo (domestic ferret). RNAcentral's name for it is "lncRNA (ENSMPUG00000029046.1)". The record is from RNAcentral. Lineage: Eukaryota; Metazoa; Chordata; Mammalia; Carnivora; Mustelidae.